Molecule: long non-coding RNA, 1251 nt
Filed under: Zea mays
Lineage: Eukaryota; Viridiplantae; Streptophyta; Magnoliopsida; Poales; Poaceae
Description: drought responsive lncRNA
Source: RNAcentral
UUAUUGCGCUCUUACUCAGGAUGAGAUUGAAGCUGCUCGAAUGGCAGCGAUCAAUAAGUAAAUUAAGCGUGUAUUGACUGAAGUCUUUUUGAAGGUUUUAUUCUUGACUUGAUCAUCUUGUUUACUGUUUACAUUAUUGAAUUCGUCUAAGAGGUGCAAGGUUAUUUCUGAUUGGUUAGCUUCUUACCCCUUUUUCAUCACAUACAGAAUCGGCUAUCUUAAGGUCAGUGUCCCUUCAUAAUUGUUAGCACAUUUUAUAUAACAAUAUGUACUGUGGUUGAGAGCACACAGUCGGAUGCUUUUUAUAUUUCCAAGGAAUUUUGUGUUCUCUAUAAGUUGUAGCAUCUAACUAUGUAACUUGAUGUUAUAGAUUCAAUCACAAAAAAUAUUUAAGCAUAUGAAUACUGAAAUAAUUGAUUGGUUGUAGGCUGGGCAAAAGGUUCGUGAAGAAAGUGAAAGGCUGCGAGUCUGCGACAGCAGGAACGUGAGCAAAUUGCAAUGAAACGUAAGCGUGAAAUGAUGCUUUGCCCUCGUGUCCCGGCUAAGGCAGAAGAAAAGUGGUUGGAGCUGUUGUACAUUCAGUGGAUUGAGCAUCAUAUAUGGUUGUCCAAUUUCUUAAGGCAACUUUGCUGCUUUGCAUCAUUCUUCACUUUGACUUAGAAACAAGUAUCGUUUCAUGAAACAAGUAUCAUUUCAUGUUAUGUAAAGGAAUUGUUCAGUUCUCUUUAUCUUUCUUGUGAUAAGUGCAGAGCAUAUUCCUUGGUUAUGGAUAUGUGUAUUGGGUAACUGGGCAUUCACAUUUUGUAUUUGUUGUUGCAAGGUCCAUAUGGAUAGUCCGGCUGAUCUCGGUAUCUCUGAUAGGCUGUCUUUCAUUGCUGAAAACUUUUGUGCCCGUUGUUAUCUCUGAUAGCCUGUUGUUCAUUGCUUGAUAUUUGUUUCAUAUAUUAUCUUUGGUGUUUGUGUCUCCACAUGAGUACAGGAGGCAAAAUAAUCAUCCACUUUGAGCUCAUUUUAAUAAAUCUUCUCAAGACAUAAAAGUCUUGCGACUAUAUGCAACAUUUCCUCUGCCUGGCAGUGCAAAGCUUGCUUGCUUAUUUUUCUUCUGUUGUUUGAUCAUCUUCUAUCUUCUGAAAUCUCGUCUUUUUUUAGGCUAGCAGAGGACUUGGUCUCACAACACAUAUUAUUGAUCACUGCAAGCUGGUACUUAAACUUCCUGAAGGGACCAAUAGCACCUAGUAUAAUGCUCAGUUC